AUUGAACGCUGGCGGCAGGCCUAACACAUGCAAGUCGAGCGGAUGAAGGGAGCUUGCUCCUGGAUUCAGCGGCGGACGGGUGAGUAAUGCCUAGGAAUCUGCCUGGUAGUGGGGGAUAACGUCCGGAAACGGGCGCUAAUACCGCAUACGUCCUGAGGGAGAAAGUGGGGGAUCUUCGGACCUCACGCUAUCAGAUGAGCCUAGGUCGGAUUAGCUAGUUGGUGGGGUAAAGGCCUACCAAGGCGACGAUCCGUAACUGGUCUGAGAGGAUGAUCAGUCACACUGGAACUGAGACAGGGUCCAGACUCCUACGGGAGGCAGAAGUGGGGAAUAUUGGACAAGGGGCGAAAGCCUGAUCCAGCCAUGCCGCGUGUGUGAAGAAGGUCUUCGGAUUGGAAAGCACUUUAAGUUGGGAGGAAGGGCAGUAAGUUAAUACCUUGCUGUGUUGACGUUACCAACAGAAUAAGCACCGGCUAACUUCGUG
RNAcentral lists this ribosomal RNA (484 nucleotides) under uncultured bacterium. RNAcentral describes it as "partial 16S ribosomal RNA". It matches the Rfam family "Bacterial small subunit ribosomal RNA", at positions 30 to 507 of the family's 1533-position model. The record is from RNAcentral.